Long non-coding RNA from Octopus sinensis (East Asian common octopus), 150 nucleotides. RefSeq lists it as uncharacterized. The record is from RefSeq and is a predicted model, not a curated record. NCBI's taxonomy places the organism in Eukaryota, Metazoa, Mollusca, Cephalopoda, Octopoda, Octopodidae. The transcript is spliced from 3 exons.
UUCUUCUUGAAGGGAAUACGCAAGCUUGUGGACCGCUUGACCAAGUGCAUUGAAAAUGAAGGAUACUAUAUAGAAAAAUGGCGUACUUGUUUAUCCCCUGCUUUUGUGUAAAUACAUUGGAAAGGCAAGAGUGCGUUUUAUGGUUUACGU